This 497-nucleotide ribosomal RNA is filed under the name uncultured bacterium. RNAcentral describes it as "partial 16S ribosomal RNA". It matches the Rfam family "Bacterial small subunit ribosomal RNA", at positions 28 to 507 of the family's 1533-position model. The record is from RNAcentral.
GAUGAACGCUGGCGGCGUGCCUAAUACAUGCAAGUCGAGCGAACGGACGAGAAGCUUGCUUUUCUGAUGUUAGCGGCGGACGGGUGAGUAACACGUGGAUAACCUACCUAUAAGACUGGGAUAACUUCGGGAAACCGGAGCUAAUACCGGAUAAUAUUUUGAACCGCAUGGUUCAAAAGUGAAAGACGGUCUUGCUGUCACUUAUAGAUGGAUCCGCGCUGCAUUAGCUAGUUGGUAAGGUAACGGCUCACCAAGGCAACGAUGCAUAGCCGACCUGAGAGGGUGAUCAGCCACACUGGAACUGAGACACGGUCCAGACUCCUACGGGAGGCAGCAGUAGGGAAUAUUCCGCAAUGGGCGCAAGCCUGAUGGAGCAAUGCCGCGUGAGUGAUGAAGGUCUUCGGAUCGUAAAACUCUGUUAUUAGGGAAGAAAAUAUGCGUAAGUAACUGUGGACAUCUUGACGGUACCUAAACAGAAAGCCCCGGCUAACUACGUG